RNAcentral lists this ribosomal RNA (300 nucleotides) under uncultured Porphyromonas sp. Its description in RNAcentral is "bacterial SSU rRNA". It matches the Rfam family "Bacterial small subunit ribosomal RNA", at positions 496 to 795 of the family's 1533-position model. Lineage: Bacteria; Pseudomonadati; Bacteroidota; Bacteroidia; Bacteroidales; Porphyromonadaceae. The record is from RNAcentral.
UGCAACUUUGUGCGACAGUGCGCGGGAAUGUCGGGGGGGCGGUGUUUAAUCGUAUGUACUAGGCGGAAGGCUCGCGUAUGUUGCUAGUUAAGUCAAAUGUUAAAUCCCCGUGUUUAACUUUGGAGUUGCAUUCGAUACUGGUUAGCUAGAGUAUGGGAGAGUAUGGUAGAAAUCCAGGUGGAGCGCUGAAAUGCGUAUAGAUCUGGAAGAAUACCGAUGGCGAAGGCAGCCAUCUGGCCUAAUACUUACACUGAGGUGCGAAUGCAUGGGGAUCAAACAGGAUUAGAUACCCCAGUAGUC